CGAUCAGUGUUUAUUGGCAAUGUGAGGUCUCUUUUCCUUUUUAACUUUGUGGUUUGCAUUCAAAACUUCAAAUGUAAAUGCAUACCCCCUCUUGAUAACCAAAUACCAGUUAACCCUUCAUGGAGGUGGAUGUAUGCAAGUCUUGUAGAUUAGUGCUUAUUUGGUGAAAAGUAUGCAUCUUCUUGAACUUGUGGCAUGUGCCUUUUACUCUUUGAAAAUAGCAGGUUUAAAUUCUUUCAUUCUCUUGGUUACUUGUAGUAUAAAUUACUGUCCGAUUAUGCUCAUGUUGCAUGAUUGAUUGAAUUAUAUUUUGUAAAUAGUACAAAAGCAAAGAAUGCAAUAUAUGGCAUGCAGAAUUUGAUCGAUCCUGAUGUAAAACAUGCAUUUCAUUUUCAUAUUUCAUUAUCUUGUAUGUUGUUUUAACUACUGGAUAUUCCUUCUGUGUUUUUGAGUUGCUUUCUUGUGAUGCUAAGAAAGGCACAUCAAUUGAAGGAAUUAAUACUGUCAUAUUGUAAAUUAUAUAACAUCUCUAUGCAAGUAUAAGUCAUCAGUUAAGCUUAAAACCUGGAGGUAAGGCCUGGUGACCUGGUGGAGUGAUGACUGAUAAAAUUGAUGGCCCUAAAACAACUGUGCAUUAUCAUCACUGGAUCCUAGGCCAGAAAAAUUAACCAUAUGAACAUUGGUGAAAAAGUAAAUGCUACAAUUAAAACUGAAAUCAUAGUAGUUAAAGCCAACUAAAUUGUUGCAAACAAAUUUUUGUUUGUGUUCAACCAGUUCAUACGUUCUGGAUGCUCUAUGUUAAUUGAGACUGACCACUAAAUUAUUUUUUUUUUUUUGUAAAAAAAG
Molecule: unclassified non-coding RNA, 846 nt
Filed under: Hevea brasiliensis (rubber tree)
Lineage: Eukaryota; Viridiplantae; Streptophyta; Magnoliopsida; Malpighiales; Euphorbiaceae
Source: RNAcentral